This 402-nucleotide ribosomal RNA is filed under the name Escherichia coli. Its description in RNAcentral is "bacterial SSU rRNA". It matches the Rfam family "Bacterial small subunit ribosomal RNA", at positions 1 to 397 of the family's 1533-position model. The record is from RNAcentral. Lineage: Bacteria; Pseudomonadati; Pseudomonadota; Gammaproteobacteria; Enterobacterales; Enterobacteriaceae.
UUAAAUUGAAGAGUUUGAUCAUGGCUCAGAUUGAACGCUGGCGGCAGGCCUAACACAUGCAAGUCGAACGGUAACAGAAAGCAGCUUGCUGCUUUGCUGACGAGUGGCGGACGGGUGAGUAAUGUCUGGGAAACUGCCUGAUGGAGGGGGAUAACUACUGGAAACGGUAGCUAAUACCGCAUAACGUCGCAAGACCAAAGAGGGGGACCUUCGGGCCUCUUGCCAUCGGAUGUGCCCAGAUGGGAUUAGCUAGUAGGUGGGGUAACGGCUCACCUAGGCGACGAUCCCUAGCUGGUCUGAGAGGAUGACCAGCCACACUGGAACUGAGACACGGUCCAGACUCCUACGGGAGGCAGCAGUGGGGAAUAUUGCACAAUGGGCGCAAGCCUGAUGCAGCCAUGC